GCAGUCGUGGCCUACUGGUUAGGGCUUGGGGCUUGGAACUGAAGGGUUGUUGGUUCAAUCUCCAACCAGUGGGA
Molecule: transfer RNA, 74 nt
Filed under: Alosa alosa (allis shad)
Lineage: Eukaryota; Metazoa; Chordata; Actinopteri; Clupeiformes; Clupeidae
Description: tRNA-OTHER
Source: RNAcentral